AGAAAUGGUGGCCCAUUUUCAUUUGAUCACAUGCAAGAACAUCUCAAACUUAUGGACGGACAAGAUUGCACGUCUGAAAUUCAUGCAACUUAAAACACAACGCACUGGAUGUAGCACAUUCCCCUUUUGACGAUUGUAACUGAGCUAUCUAGGGUUCAAGAGAUUGGGCUCCUAUAGCUAUAAUAUAUCUCUCUAAUCAUCAACUCCCUAAUUAAUCAUAUGCUACCGGGUUCUUUUGGUUUCAAAGGAUGAGAGAGGGUUGUUUUUUUACAAAACUUAAUUAUCAUAUACUUAUGUAGGUAACAGAGGCGUGCCUACAGUGUAUUGAAAAAGGCAUUCGCCUUAGGCCUCCGAAUAAUAUUACGUUUUAUAGGGCCCCAAAAUUUACAAUAAUUUCUAUUUUAGUUGCUUAAACUUAUUUCUAAAAAAAACUUUCCACGAGAAUCGAAUAACUCAAUUUCUAAAUUUAUAUUUUUUUUAUAGGACAUAAUAUAACAUAUUUACGUAAUAAGUAUUAAACUUAUGUAUUUCGCAAAGGUGAUAUAUCGUAUUAAAAAAUUGUUUUCUUUAUAGUUGUAUAUAAAUUUAUUUUUAAAACUUGCCUUAGGCCCCUGAAACUCUUCGCACGGCACUGGUAGGUAACAAUGUCUCCAUAAGAGUGAUGACACCUAGUGUGAGUUGUCAUCAAAAAUCUUCAAAGUCUUGAGCAUAGCCUGGUACAAAAGUUUGAUGCUGAAGGAUAAUGUAUAGUUCAUAAAAUCUAAUCCCCCCCUUUUUUUUUUUGUGGAGUAAACAUGCAUUCGGUUUAAAGAUAUAUAGUCUGAUGGUUUCUAUCACUUGGAAUCUAAAAGUUGAACCAAACACAAUAUCACGUGAAUAACAAGGGUUUCUGCAAAGAAGACCUAACAUUAGGUGAAAAUUGAUUGACUAACUUAAACCGCGUUUUCGAUCUAUCGGUUCGUUAAUUUGAUAGAGAGUACGAGGAAACUUGUGCCUCAUACGAUGUCCAUUAAUGGUUUGUUUUAUACCUGCUGUAACUUACCCUUUUGUUUCCAUCUUAGCUGAAUUUGAAACUUGGAAGAUAUGUGUAUCUUAAAAUGCUUGUGUGGUUGGUUAACUCUUUCAAGGACGAAAGUGUAGUAAAUGAAGGAGCUCGCAUUUACAGAGCAACCGAGAGGUGUUGAAGACCAAGUGAAAGCACCGAUGCAUCGCGUAUUAGGGUUCUCACAUGGGUCCAUAUUGAUUUUUUUUUCUGAAAGCUGCUCAUUUUUUCACCUAAAGCUUAUAUGACGUGGCCGAAUAACUCUUUUUCAUUGGUCAUUUUUCGAUGACAUGGCGUGCAUAUUGGCCUUUUAUUAUUUAAGUUGAUUUUCUUAACUUGCAACGGUAAUAACUUUGUGAGAGCGAGAAAGAUAGCGAAUAAACUUUCUUUUACUUUAACCGGAGUAACACAUUCCCUUAUCCACCGUUGGUUUCGAAGUUCAUGAUCCAAGGGUUUAAAAUCCAAGCAUCCUCAAAAAUUUGAUCGUUAGGAAUUUUUUUCUUUUCUAUUCCCCUCUCCUCUCAUCUCCUUCCACUAAGACACAUUCUCUCUCUCUAUCGCUUUCUCCUUCUUCUUUUCUCAGAUGAUUCUCCACAGAAAAUAAUCAAAAAAGAAAAGACGUUUCAUAAAUACUGGAAGGGAACGAUCAUGGCGACGAGACAAGCUUAAGUUAGAGAUGAUCCCGUCCAUGUCAAGAACCGCUGCGCUCUUUGGGUCAUCGGAAACCUCACUUCUCUUCCCCGAGUCGAAGGAGGAACGAUCAAUCCACCCUUGCCCCCCUUGACCCGUAACUUUCGUUCCAGGUUACAAGAAAACGCACAAAUUGCUGAUAAAAAAGCAAAUCAAUCUAGAAAAAAGCUUCCUUUUCUUGAUGGUCCUCUUGUACCCACGAGUUGCUGAUAAUUAUAAAGAUCAAUGUGGACCAAGCUUCGGUUCUUGAUGAUGCUCAUGUUGUACCCAAGAAAGGCGGUUCAAAACCUAUCGAAGUGCUUGUCCACCAGAGAACCCAGAUACGAUGGUGGUGGCGACCCGUUAAAGGAUAUGGAUUGGGAGAGAAGUUAACCGAGGGAAAGAGAUCGAGUUUUCAACAUUUGAGGAGCGCGUGGAUUCACUCUCCGCUACGAUUUCUCAAGGUUAGCCUUGCUUCUUCCCCAAGUUUAUUAUGUCUUUUUUUAUGUUUUGAGCUUAGUGUUGCAGAAUCUUCGUAAUGAUCAAAUCUGGAAGAUAGGUUUUGGUGGUGAUGAUCGAAUUUGGAAAAUAGGUUUAGGUGGCUUGUAUUUGAAUUAUUUGAAAUAUCUAGAAAUGGAAAUCUUGGUGGCAAUGAUCGAAUUUAGAAGAUAGGUUUAGCUGGCUCGUACUUGUAUUAUGGAAAAGCCAGGGACUUUUUAUUUAUUUAUAAAAUAUAUAUAAUUUUAAACGUUUUCUUGUACAAACCUUUUGUUUUAAGUAUAAUAUAUUUUUUAGUGU
Brassica napus (rape) is the source of this 2509-nucleotide long non-coding RNA. RefSeq lists it as uncharacterized. The transcript has 4 exons. The record is from RefSeq and is a predicted model, not a curated record. NCBI's taxonomy places the organism in Eukaryota, Viridiplantae, Streptophyta, Magnoliopsida, Brassicales, Brassicaceae.